Centrocercus urophasianus (Greater sage-grouse) is the source of this 1113-nucleotide long non-coding RNA. RefSeq lists it as uncharacterized. The record is from RefSeq and is a predicted model, not a curated record. The transcript has 4 exons. Lineage: Eukaryota; Metazoa; Chordata; Aves; Galliformes; Phasianidae.
UUCCUAAGUCCUUUAAAUAUCCGAGUUGUAAGUAACUAUGCCAGUUUUAAGGGACUUCCUGGUUUGUUUUUCAUGAUGUUUUGCCGCAUUAUUAUCUCCAGAGACUAGAUGCGAACAUUAGGCUAGGUUUUGUAGAGCUGGAAGCAGUUUUGUCCGUGCAGAAGCAUUGUAACGUGGGCCUCGUGUUGCUGCGGUUACACGCAAGGUGUCAGGUCUAGGAUGCCGAUUAACGAGCACCUCGGGUCGGAUCGCGGGUUAUCGCUGUGUCCUUGGCAGGACGGCGUGGCGCUGGGGCUCGGCCAGCCCGUGCAGACACGUGGAAGCUGCUGUUCGGAGCUGCUGGCGCAAGGGAGCCCAUGGGCGGAGCUGUGCCUUCCGCAGGCAGACCGGGCUGGUCCGGCACUUCUCUACUCUGCCGCUUGCUGGCAGGCCUCUAUGAAGGCAGAAAGGCAUUGGGCCUGCUGGAGACCUGAUGAGAUGGCUAUAGCCAGCAGUGGAUCAGCUGUGUGAUGAAGGCAGCUGUCCUGGCUUGCACCACUGCGUAUGAACCUUGAACAGGCCUCUGUGAAGGCAGAGAGAUGUUGGGCCUGCUGGAGAUCUGAUGAGAUGGCUGUAGCCUGCAGUGGAUCAGUUGUGUGACAACUGCAGUUGCCCUUGGCUUUCUCUGCUUUGCAUUUCCACUUUUGAUAGAGGAGCAAAGGUUGAGUAGAUCUCUCAGAAGGCUUCAGGAUUUGCUGUUAUUUCAAAGAACUAGGUGAAGGCUAUCUUCUGCUAAUGAUGUUUCUCUCCAUGCUGCUGCCUGUGAUCCUUGUACACACUACAACAUCCAUAUCACUGAAACAACUUCUGUGUCUUUUCUCUUGGUCUUGCCAACUCACAGAUGGCAGGUGUUGUGUUUUUUGCCUUCAUAUGAUGUAUUUAAUCAUAAUGGAUUCUGGAAUUUGCUGCAUGUUCUACGUAACUGGAUGAUUUUUGUCUGCAAGGGCUGUAUUCACCAGCUGACAACUAAUGUUGCUUGACAUUAAAAGAAGCCUGAAAAAGCUGUUGUCAUAUAUGAUGGUCUUGUGUACAAGGAGAGUUUUUUUAAUAAAUCUGAGUACAGUAUGAACUCAA